This 106-nucleotide small nuclear RNA is filed under the name Salvator merianae (Argentine black and white tegu). Lineage: Eukaryota; Metazoa; Chordata; Lepidosauria; Squamata; Teiidae. The record is from RNAcentral.
GUGCUCGCUUCAGCAACACAUAAAUUAAAAUUGGAAUGAUACAGAGAAGAUUAGCAUGGCCCCAGGCCAAGAAAAAUUUAUAAUUAAAAAAAAAAUACACACAUAA